GUGCGGGUAGCUCAGCUGGCAGAGCCCCAGAUUCGUUCUGGUGAGGGAGAAAUCCCUGCGCGGGUUCGAACCCCGCCCCGUACU
RNAcentral lists this transfer RNA (84 nucleotides) under Gemmatimonadota bacterium. RNAcentral describes it as "Gemmatimonadetes bacterium tRNA-Arg". It matches the Rfam family "tRNA". Rfam says of the family: Transfer RNA (tRNA) molecules are approximately 80 nucleotides in length. Their secondary structure includes four short double-helical elements and three loops (D, anti-codon, and T loops). RNAcentral also lists the same sequence under 1 other name. The record is from RNAcentral. Lineage: Bacteria; Pseudomonadati; Gemmatimonadota.